AUACUUACCUGGCAGGGGAGAUACCAUGAUCACUAAGGUGGUUCUCCCAGGGCAAGGCUCAUCCAUUGCACUCCGGGUGUGCUGACCCCUGCGAUUUCCCCAAAUGCGGGAAACUCGACUGCAGAAUUUGUGGUAUUUGUGAAAUUUCCAAAUUUUUUAAA
RNAcentral lists this small nuclear RNA (161 nucleotides) under Erpetoichthys calabaricus (reedfish). Its description in RNAcentral is "U1 spliceosomal RNA (ENSECRG00000013236.1)". It matches the Rfam family "U1 spliceosomal RNA". Rfam says of the family: U1 is a small nuclear RNA (snRNA) component of the spliceosome (involved in pre-mRNA splicing). Its 5' end forms complementary base pairs with the 5' splice junction, thus defining the 5' donor site of an intron. The record is from RNAcentral. Lineage: Eukaryota; Metazoa; Chordata; Cladistia; Polypteriformes; Polypteridae.